This 253-nucleotide ribosomal RNA is filed under the name uncultured bacterium. RNAcentral describes it as "partial 16S ribosomal RNA". It matches the Rfam family "Bacterial small subunit ribosomal RNA", at positions 524 to 776 of the family's 1533-position model. The record is from RNAcentral.
UACGUAGGAGGCAAGCGUUGUCCGGAAUCACUGGGCGUAAAGCGCGUGUAGGCGGACCGCUAAGUCUGUGGUGAAAGCGCCUGGCUUAACCGGGCGAGGUCCAUGGAAACUAGCGGUCUGGAGGCCGGUAGAGGGGGGUGGAAUUCCGGGUGUAGUGGUGAAAUGCGUAGAGAUCCGGAGGAACACCAGUGGCGAAGGCGGCCCCCUGGGCCGCGCCUGACGCUGAGACGCGAAAGCGCGGGGAGCGAACGGG